RNAcentral lists this ribosomal RNA (243 nucleotides) under uncultured bacterium. Its description in RNAcentral is "partial 16S ribosomal RNA". The record is from RNAcentral.
CUGCUGCCUUCCGUAGGAGUCUGGGCCGUAUCUCAGUCCCAAUGUGGCCGGCCAACCUCUCAGUCCGGCUACUGAUCGUCGCCUUGGUGGGCCGUUACCCCACCAACUAGCUAAUCAGACGCGAGUCCAUCUCUCAGCGAUAAAUCUUUGAUAUAAGUGCCAUGCGGCACCUAUAUGUUAUGCGGUAUUAGCAGUCGUUUCCAACUGUUGUCCCCCUCUGAAAGGCAGGUUACUCACGCGUUA